This 253-nucleotide ribosomal RNA is filed under the name uncultured bacterium. RNAcentral describes it as "partial 16S ribosomal RNA". It matches the Rfam family "Bacterial small subunit ribosomal RNA", at positions 524 to 776 of the family's 1533-position model. The record is from RNAcentral.
GACGUAGGGCGCGAGCGUUGUCCGGAUUUAUUGGGUGUAAAGAGCUCGUAGGCGGCUUGUCGCGUCGAAUGUGAAAUCUCAGGGCUCAACUCUGACAUUGCAUUCGAUACGGGCAGGCUAGAGUUCGGUAGGGGAGACUGGAAUUCCUGGUGUAGCGGUGGAAUGCGCAGAUAUCAGGAGGAACACCGGUGGCGAAGGCGGGUCUCUGGGCCGACAUUGACGCUGAGGAGCGAAAGCGUGGGGAGCGAACAGG